RNAcentral lists this small nucleolar RNA (132 nucleotides) under Propithecus coquereli (Coquerel's sifaka). The record is from RNAcentral. Lineage: Eukaryota; Metazoa; Chordata; Mammalia; Primates; Indriidae.
GUUGAGAUCUAUUCCGAUGAAGCUUUUCUGGUAAAGCUGCACAUCUUUAGAAACACCUCACAGAGAAACUUUGAUUUUGCUUGAUUCACAGGACUGUUUGUUAGAUCUGUGGGAAGGAACUGUAAGACAGAG